Molecule: ribosomal RNA, 497 nt
Filed under: uncultured bacterium
Lineage: Bacteria
Description: partial 16S ribosomal RNA
Rfam family: Bacterial small subunit ribosomal RNA
Source: RNAcentral
GAUGAACGCUGGCGGCGUUCCUAAUACAUGCAAGUCGAGCGAACGGACGAGAAGCUUGCUUCUCUGAUGUUAGCGGCGGACGGGUGAGUAACACGUGGAUAACCUACCUAUAAGACUGGGAUAACUUCGGGAAACCGUAGCUAAUACCGGAUAAUAUUUUGAACCGCAUGGUUCAAAAGUGAAAGACGGUCUUGCUGUCACUUAUAGAUGGAUCCGCGCUGCAUUAGCUAGUUGGUAAGGUAACGGCUUACCAAGGCAACGAUGCAUAGCCGACCUGAGAGGGUGAUCGGCCACACUGGAACUGAGACACGGUCCAGACUCCUACGGGAGGCAGCAGUAGGGAAUCUUCCGCAAUGGGCGAAAGCCUGACGGAGCAACGCCGCGUGAGUGAUGAAGGUCUUCGGAUCGUAAAACUCUGUUAUUAGGGAAGAACAUAUGUGUAAGUAACUGUGCACAUCUUGACGGUACCUAAUCAGAAAGCCACGGCUAACUACGUG